AGUGAACGCUGGCGGUAGGCCUAACACAUGCAAGUCGAACGGCAGCACAGUAAGAGCUUGCUCUUACGGGUGGCGAGUGGCGGACGGGUGAGGAAUACAUCGGAAUCUACUUUUUCGUGGGGGAUAACGUAGGGAAACUUACGCUAAUACCGCAUACGACCUACGGGUGAAAGCAGGGGAUCUUCGGACCUUGCGCGAUUGAAUGAGCCGAUGUCGGAUUAGCUAGUUGGCGGGGUAAAGGCCCACCAAGGCGACGAUCCGUAGCUGGUCUGAGAGGAUGAUCAGCCACACUGGAACUGAGACACGGUCCAGACUCCUACGGGAGGCAGCAGUGGGGAAUAUUGGACAAUGGGCGCAAGCCUGAUCCAGCCAUACCGCGUGGGUGAAGAAGGCCUUCGGGUUGUAAAGCCUUUUUGUUGGGAAAGAAAAGCAGCAGGUUAAUACCCCGCUGUUCUGACGGUACCCAAAGAAUGAGCACCGGCUAACUUCGUG
This 492-nucleotide ribosomal RNA is filed under the name uncultured bacterium. RNAcentral describes it as "partial 16S ribosomal RNA". It matches the Rfam family "Bacterial small subunit ribosomal RNA", at positions 29 to 507 of the family's 1533-position model. The record is from RNAcentral.